UACGUAGGGUGCGAGCGUUGUCCGGAAUUAUUGGGCGUAAAGAGCUCGUAGGCGGUCUGUCGCGUCGGUCGUGAAAACUUGGGGCUUAACCCUGAGCUUGCGGUCGAUACGGGCAUGACUGGAGUUCGGCAAGGGAGACUGGAAUUCCUGGUGUAGCGGUGAAAUGCGCAGAUAUCAGGAGGAACACCGGUGGCGAAGGCGGGUCUCUGGGCCGAUACUGACGCUGAGGAGCGAAAGCAUGGGUAGCGAACAGG
Molecule: ribosomal RNA, 254 nt
Filed under: uncultured bacterium
Lineage: Bacteria
Description: partial 16S ribosomal RNA
Rfam family: Bacterial small subunit ribosomal RNA
Source: RNAcentral